Molecule: ribosomal RNA, 165 nt
Filed under: uncultured bacterium
Lineage: Bacteria
Description: partial 16S ribosomal RNA
Rfam family: Bacterial small subunit ribosomal RNA
Source: RNAcentral
CAUGGGUGAAAGCCUGAUCCAGCCAUCCCGCGUGAAGGACGACGGCCCUACGGGUUGUAAACUUCUUUUAUAUAGGAAUAAACCUAGAUACGUGUAUCUAGCUGAAGGUACUAUAUGAAUAAGCACCGGCUAACUCCGUGCCAGCAGCCGCGGUAAUACGAUACG